RNAcentral lists this non-coding RNA (106 nucleotides) under Bacteroidota bacterium. RNAcentral describes it as "Bacteroidetes bacterium SAM-I sequence". It matches the Rfam family "SAM riboswitch aptamer (S box leader)". From Rfam's summary of the family: The SAM riboswitch is found upstream of a number of genes which code for proteins involved in methionine or cysteine biosynthesis in Gram-positive bacteria. Lineage: Bacteria; Pseudomonadati; Bacteroidota. The record is from RNAcentral.
UGAUUAUAGAGAAGAGUGGAGAGAACGGGCUCAGCGAAGCUCUGGCAACCAACCGGACAAUGCCGGGAAAGGUGCCAAUACCCGACCGGAAACGGAAUUAUAAUUA